This is a long non-coding RNA of Sapajus apella (tufted capuchin), 620 nucleotides long. RefSeq lists it as uncharacterized. Lineage: Eukaryota; Metazoa; Chordata; Mammalia; Primates; Cebidae. The transcript is spliced from 3 exons. The record is from RefSeq and is a predicted model, not a curated record.
ACCAGUCUUGGAUUGAGAAACAGCCCAUAAGAAAAUUAAUUAGUGGUUUUCCCAUGGUUACAAAUAAGAGAAGUAAUUAUCUCCUGUUUUAUCCUAAUAAGCUUAACUGUGUUAGGUUGAUCAGUCCUGGCUUUCUACAUUGAAGAAAAGUGAGCAUUCAUCAUUUCAACACAACAGUCUUUCCCAUGGGACACAUGGUGCUUUUUAUUACAUUUACUUACUAGUAAGGAAAGAGUUAUGAGACAUUAGAAAAUGCAGGUGAUGUAUCAACAGGCCACAGUUGGAUUUUUAUCCUAAAAGACAGUUUGAAUUCCUUCCUAUGACUUUUUAUAGUCUGUGCAUUUUUAAAAAUAGGAUAGGAAGUGACAUUUUAAUAGAGCAUUCAGACAGAAUGCCAGGAGGAAAAGAGAAAUACUUUCACUGACCACCAGUUUUAUCUUAGGAAAUUAAGUCAAGAAGAGUAUGAGCGACAACAAAGAGAGCAGAGGCUAUCAGCUGCUGAUGAAAAGGCAGAUUUGGCUGCAGAGGAAGUAAAAACUUACAAGCGGAGAAUAGAAGAAAUGGAGAAUGAAUUACAGAAAACAGAGCGAUUAUUUAAAAACCAGAUAGCUACCCAUGAG